Molecule: ribosomal RNA, 416 nt
Filed under: Lacerta trilineata polylepidota
Lineage: Eukaryota; Metazoa; Chordata; Lepidosauria; Squamata; Lacertidae
Also listed under: 1 other name
Description: partial 16S ribosomal RNA
Rfam family: Bacterial large subunit ribosomal RNA
Source: RNAcentral
AACGGCCGCGGUAUCCUAACCGUGCAAAGGUAGCAUAAUCACUUGUCCCCUAAAUAGGGACCAGAAUGAACGGCUAAAUGAGGACUAAACUGUCUCUUACAGAUUGGCCAAUGAAAUUGAUUUCCCAGUACAAAAGCUGGAAUAUACCCAUAAGACGAGAAGACCCUGUGGAGCUUCAAAACCAAACCACUUAGUAUGUCCCUUGGUUUUUUAGUUGGGGCGACUUCGGAAUACAACAAAACUUCCAAAAUAAAACUAACUCAUUAAGGUUAACACACCAAAAUCUCCACACAGACCCAGCAAUUAAUUUGUCUGACCAAUGAACCAAGUUACCCCAGGGAUAACAGCGCAAUCUCCUUUUAGAGUCCAUAUCGACAAGGGGGUUUACGACCUCGAUGUUGGAUCAGGACACCCCA